RNAcentral lists this small nuclear RNA (103 nucleotides) under Oryza nivara. Lineage: Eukaryota; Viridiplantae; Streptophyta; Magnoliopsida; Poales; Poaceae. The record is from RNAcentral.
GUCACUUCGGUGACAUCCGAUAAAAUUGGAACGAUACAGAGAAGAUUAGCAUGGCCCCUGCGCAAGGAUGACACGCACAAAUCAAGAAAUGGUCCAAAUUUUU